CUCAUGGGACUUCAUAGCUGCUGUAGGGAAGACACAAAAUUGUACACGUAGAAUGUAAAUUCUGAAUGUCUGAUUUGGGAUCUCUGUUACAUUUUAUUUUAAAAAAAUCAUUCUAGAAGAAGAACCUCAUUUCACUUCAUAAAUACUUUAUGUGGACCAGGGUAGGAGAAGGACAUAGAAGUAUGGGGAAGUUGUCGAAGAAACUAGCAAAAGCCAAGGCCAACAACAACAACAAGAAAGAAGAAUCAUUGGGACAGAAAAUAGAAGGGAGAGAUGCUGAAAGUGUUACUUUCAUUCCUACAACAAACCUACAACAGCACAAGGGAGGAGAAGGAGCAAGAUGAAGCAGACCAUGGAUCAACUUGUGUUCCUCCUCCACCAGUGAGGCAACGGUCUUGUAAAAAUGACAAAAAGAUUACACUUACACAAAAAACAAAAGGAAGACAUCUCUGAGGUGGUAUAUACACUGGCAAAAAUACUCCAGGAGCAGCCCAGAGUAUUCUGGCCCCAGAGUUGCCACAACAUCCCCCGCUACCUAGAGUCACCCGUUGUGAUGCCAGGCAGCUGUUCAUACAAGCUUCCUGCUGUCUCACCUGCUGCAGCGAUGACUGUGCCAGAAGGCAAAGUGGGAUAUGCAUGCCAACAGCUGUUCAGAAUUGCAAGUACAUUUGUGUGGAAUGGGAGAUUUGGAUCUUCUGA
Molecule: long non-coding RNA, 699 nt
Organism: Sceloporus undulatus (fence lizard)
Lineage: Eukaryota; Metazoa; Chordata; Lepidosauria; Squamata; Phrynosomatidae
Exons: 3
Source: RefSeq, a predicted model, not a curated record